GACGAACGCUGGCGGCGUGCUUAACACAUGCAAGUCGAACGGAAAGGCCCUGCUUUUGUGGGGUGCUCGAGUGGCGAACGGGUGAGUAACACGUGAGUAACCUGCCCUUGACUUUGGGAUAACUUCAGGAAACUGGGGCUAAUACCGGAUAGGAGCUCCUGCUGCAUGGUGGGGGUUGGAAAGUUUCGGCGGUUGGGGAUGGACUCGCGGCUUAUCAGCUUGUUGGUGGGGUAGUGGCUUACCAAGGCUUUGACGGGUAGCCGGCCUGCGAGGGUGACCGGCCACAUUGGGACUGAGAUACGGCCCAGACUCCUACGGGAGGCAGCAGUGGAGAAUAUUGCACAAUGGGCUGAAGCCUGAUGCAGCAACGCCGCGUGCGGGAUGACGGCCUUCGGGUUGUAUACCGCUUUCGCCUGUGACGAAGCGUGAGUGACGGUAAUGGGUAAAGAAGCACCGGCUAACUACGUG
RNAcentral lists this ribosomal RNA (468 nucleotides) under uncultured bacterium. RNAcentral's name for it is "partial 16S ribosomal RNA". It matches the Rfam family "Bacterial small subunit ribosomal RNA", at positions 28 to 507 of the family's 1533-position model. The record is from RNAcentral.